GCAUAACGCGAAGAACCUUACCUAGACUUGACAUCUCCUGAAUAGUGUAGAGAUACAUGAAGCCCUUCGGGGCAGGAAGACAGGUGGUGCAUGGUUGUCGUCAGCUCGUGUUGUGAAAUGUUGGGUUAAGUCCCGCAACGAGCGCAACCCUUAUCCUUUGUUGCCAGCGGUCCGGCCGGGAACUCAAAGGAGACUGCCAGUGAUAAACUGGAGGAAGGUGGGGAUGACGUCAAGUCAUCAUGGCCCUUACGAGUAGGGCUACACACGUGCUACAAUGGCGCAUACAAAGAGAAGCGACCUCGCGAGAGCAAGCGGACCUCAUAAAGUGCGUCGUAGUCCGGAUUGGAGUCUGCAACUCGACUCCAUGAAGUCGGAAUCGCUAGUAAUCGUAGAUCAGAAUGUUACGGUGAAUACGUUCCCGGGUCUUGUACACACCG
RNAcentral lists this ribosomal RNA (437 nucleotides) under uncultured bacterium. RNAcentral describes it as "bacterial SSU rRNA". It matches the Rfam family "Bacterial small subunit ribosomal RNA", at positions 954 to 1392 of the family's 1533-position model. The record is from RNAcentral.